GCCAACACACCUGGAAGAAGCGACAGGUAGGUUAUGACGAUAAUAUUUGUAGGAAGGUUAUGCCAAGAAUAUUUGUAGGAAGGUUAUGCCAAGAAUAUUUGUAGGAAGGUUAUGCCAAGAAUAUUUGUAGGAAGGUUAUGCCAAGAAUAUUUGUAGGAAGGUUAUGCCAAGAAUAUUUGUAGGAAGGUUAUGCCAAGAAUAUUUGUAGGAAGGUUAUGCCAAGAAUAUUUGUAGGAAGGUUAUGCCAAGAAUAUUUGUAGGAAGGUUAUGCCAAGAAUAUUUGUAGGAAGGUUAUGCCAAGAAUAUUUGUAGGAAGGUUAUGCCAAGAAUAUUUGUAGGAAGGUUAUGCCAAGAAUAUUUGUAGGAAGGUUAUGCCAAGAAUAUUUGUAGGAAGGUUAUGCCAAGAAUAUUUGUAGGAAGGUUAUGCCAAGAAUAUUUGUAGGAAGGUUAUGCCAAGAAUAUUUGUAGGAAGGUUAUGCCAAGAAUAUUUGUAGGAAGGUUAUGCCAAGAAUAUUUGUAGGAAGGUUAUGCCAAGAAUAUUUGUAGGAAGGUUAUGCCAAGAAUAUUUGUAGGAAGGUUAUGCCAAAAUGGAAACAAAGGCAGCAGAGGGCAGCUUCGUAGAUCCAAGUCUCCCUUCCCUCAUCUUCCGUUCCAUUUCCGUCUUCCAUUCAUUUUUUUUCCAACCCAAAAUAUAUGACCCACUGGAACUUUCAAAACCACAACAUUUAACAGACAGAGACACAGACAGAAAGGUAGAGACAGACAGACACAG
Molecule: long non-coding RNA, 772 nt
Organism: Eriocheir sinensis (Chinese mitten crab)
Lineage: Eukaryota; Metazoa; Arthropoda; Malacostraca; Decapoda; Varunidae
Exons: 4
Source: RefSeq, a predicted model, not a curated record